This 163-nucleotide ribosomal RNA is filed under the name Coralliogalathea humilis. RNAcentral describes it as "partial 16S rRNA". The record is from RNAcentral. Lineage: Eukaryota; Metazoa; Arthropoda; Malacostraca; Decapoda; Galatheidae.
UCUUUAUAUAAACUAUUUUAUAAUUUUAAAUUAUUAGUAGAUAAAAUAUAAAAAAGAUAUAUUAUGUUGGGGCAACAUUAAUAUAUUAAAAUUAACUGUUUAAUAAUAAAACCAAAAAUUUUUGAUGUUAAUAGAUCCUUUUUAAAGAUUAAAAAAUUAAGUU